This 74-nucleotide transfer RNA is filed under the name Candidatus Dojkabacteria bacterium. RNAcentral's name for it is "tRNA-Met". It matches the Rfam family "tRNA". Rfam says of the family: Transfer RNA (tRNA) molecules are approximately 80 nucleotides in length. Their secondary structure includes four short double-helical elements and three loops (D, anti-codon, and T loops). Further hydrogen bonds mediate the characteristic L-shaped molecular structure. tRNAs have two regions of fundamental functional importance: the anti-codon, which is responsible for specific mRNA codon recognition, and the 3' end, to which the tRNAs corresponding amino acid is attached (by aminoacyl-tRNA synthetases). tRNAs cope with the degeneracy of the genetic code in two manners: having more than one tRNA (with a specific anti-codon) for a particular amino acid; and 'wobble' base-pairing, i.e. permitting non-standard base-pairing at the 3rd anti-codon position. The record is from RNAcentral.
GCCAGAGUAGCUCAGUUGGUUAGAGCGGAGGACUCAUAAGCCUCAGGCCACUGGUUCAAUUCCAGUCUCUGGCA